Molecule: ribosomal RNA, 1327 nt
Filed under: Kribbella sp.
Lineage: Bacteria; Bacillati; Actinomycetota; Actinomycetes; Propionibacteriales; Kribbellaceae
Description: bacterial SSU rRNA
Rfam family: Bacterial small subunit ribosomal RNA
Source: RNAcentral
GUACACGAGCGGCGAACGGGUGAGUAACACGUGAGCAACCUACCCUCAACUUCGGGAUAAGCCUCGGAAACGGGGUCUAAUACCGGAUAUCACUCCUUACUUCAUGGUUUGGGGUUGAAAGUUCUGGCGGUUGGGGAUGGGCUCGCGGCCUAUCAGCUUGUUGGUGGGGUAAUGGCCUACCAAGGCGUCGACGGGUAGCCGGCCUGAGAGGGCGACCGGCCACACUGGGACUGAGACACGGCCCAGACUCCUACGGGAGGCAGCAGUGGGGAAUAUUGCGCAAUGGACGAAAGUCUGACGCAGCAACGCCGCGUGAGGGAUGACGGCCUUCGGGUUGUAAACCUCUUUCAGCAGGGACGAAGCGAGAGUGACGGUACCUGCAGAAGAAGGACCGGCCAACUACGUGCCAGCAGCCGCGGUAAUACGUAGGGUCCGAGCGUUGUCCGGAAUUAUUGGGCGUAAAGGGCUCGUAGGCGGUUCGUCACGUCGGGAGUGAAAACUCGGAGCUCAACUCCGAGCCUGCUUCCGAUACGGGCAGACUAGAGGUAGGCAGGGGAGAGCGGAACUCCUGGUGUAGCGGUGGAAUGCGCAGAUAUCAGGAAGAACACCGGUGGCGAAGGCGGCUCUCUGGGCCUUACCUGACGCUGAGGAGCGAAAGCGUGGGUAGCGAACAGGAUUAGAUACCCUGGUAGUCCACGCCGUAAACGUUGGGCGCUAGGUGUGGGGGACAUUCCACGUCCUCCGUGCCGCAGCUAACGCAUUAAGCGCCCCGCCUGGGGAGUACGGCCGCAAGGCUAAAACUCAAAGGAAUUGACGGGGGCCCGCACAAGCGGCGGAGCAUGCGGAUUAAUUCGAUGCAACGCGAAGAACCUUACCUGGGUUUGACAUAUAGGGAAAUCCUCCAGAGAUGGGGGGUCCGUAAGGGUCCUAUACAGGUGGUGCAUGGCUGUCGUCAGCUCGUGUCGUGAGAUGUUGGGUUAAGUCCCGCAACGAGCGCAACCCUCGUCCUAUGUUGCCAGCACGUUAUGGUGGGGACUCAUAGGAGACUGCCGGGGUCAACUCGGAGGAAGGUGGGGAUGACGUCAAGUCAUCAUGCCCCUUAUGUCCAGGGCUUCACGCAUGCUACAAUGGCCGGUACAAAGGGCUGCGAAACUGCAAAGUGGAGCGAAUCCCAAAAAGCCGGUCUCAGUUCGGAUUGGGGUCUGCAACUCGACCCCAUGAAGUCGGAGUCGCUAGUAAUCGCAGAUCAGCAACGCUGCGGUGAAUACGUUCCCGGGCCUUGUACACACCGCCCGUCACGUCAUGAAAGUCGGCAACACCCGAAGCC